Molecule: long non-coding RNA, 685 nt
Filed under: Panax ginseng (ginseng)
Lineage: Eukaryota; Viridiplantae; Streptophyta; Magnoliopsida; Apiales; Araliaceae
Description: long non-coding RNA (PGIN_LNC010898)
Source: RNAcentral
CGUGGAAUAGGCGUCAACAAAAUAACCUUCGUUAGUUUUGUAUUGGCUUUAUACUUCUCAUUCCAGCAGAUCUUCGUUGCCUGAGAGAGAGAGAGUGAGCGACUUACGACGACCAGUGAGCUUAAAGGUAGGCAAUCUAGGGUUUUUUUCUACAAAUAUAUGACUUAGAUCUUCGUUGGUACAAGGUAUGCACGAUUUUGUGUUUGGUUUUAGCUAUUGAUUGUUAAAAGGUAGGGUUUUUGUGCGAUUUAUUUGGGGAUUUUGCGCGAUUUCUGCAAAUGUACAAUGGUUUUAAUUGAUUUGGAUUUGGUUGUAAUGAAUUAAUUAUUUUGGAUGAAGUUUGGAACAUUGGUUUGGUAUGCAAAACAGGACAUAACUUGGCAAAUUUUUUUAAAUUGAAGGAACUACAUGUGUUGAAUAUGGAACAAGGUAAAGGUAUUAGGUUUGGACUGAAAUACAGAGUGGGAAGUUAUGUUUAAUUACAGGCUUCUCAUCUUUUAGCUACACAAAAGACAAUCAGGUGGAGAUUUUGAAAGUAGUAUGCUCCAUGGAUUUAUUUAAUUGAAAGAUAAAUAUUUUAGUGUAUAUCUUUAUUAUUGUCCAUUACUUUCAACUUACUAUGCUUCUUUGUUCGUUGGAAUCUACAGAGAGAAGUGUGUCUGUCAGCCUAAGAACUCAUAUACAU